CUACGGAGGGUGCAAGCGUUACUCGGAAUCACUGGGCGUAAAGCGCGCGCAGGCGGCUAUUUAAGUUGGAUGUGAAAGCCUACGGCUCAACCGUAGAACUGCAUCCAAAACUAUUUAGCUAGAGUGUGGGAGAGGAAGAUGGAAUUAGUUGUGUAGGGGUAAAAUCCGUAGAGAUAACUAGGAAUACCAAAAGCGAAGGCAAUCUUCUGGAACACUUCUGACGCUGAGGCGCGAAAGCGUGGGGAGCAAACAGGAUUAGAAACCCUAGUAGUCC
RNAcentral lists this ribosomal RNA (274 nucleotides) under uncultured bacterium. RNAcentral describes it as "partial 16S ribosomal RNA". It matches the Rfam family "Bacterial small subunit ribosomal RNA", at positions 523 to 796 of the family's 1533-position model. The record is from RNAcentral.